GAUGAACGCUAGCUACAGGCUUAACACAUGCAAGUCGAGGGACCGGCGCACGGGUGAGUAACACGUAUCCAACCUUCCCUUUACUCGGGGAUAGCCUUUCGCAAGAAAGAUUAAUACCCUAUAUAAAGGAUGGGGAUGCGUUCCAUUAGGUUGUUGGUGAGGUAACGGCUCACCAAGCCUUCGAUGGAUAGGUGUUCUGAGAGGAAGGACCCGCAAAUUGGAACUGAGACACGGUGCAAACUGCGAGGGGAAGCAGCAGUGAGGAAAAUUUGUCAAUGAGCGCUAUCCUGAACUGCCAAGUAGGUGGAAGAAUGAAGGCUUAUGGAUCGUAAAAUUCUUGUGUAUAAGAAAAUGGAUUAUAUGAAUAAGGAUCGGCUAACUCCGUGCCAGCAGAAGCGGUAAUAC
RNAcentral lists this ribosomal RNA (405 nucleotides) under uncultured bacterium. Its description in RNAcentral is "partial 16S ribosomal RNA". It matches the Rfam family "Bacterial small subunit ribosomal RNA", at positions 28 to 526 of the family's 1533-position model. The record is from RNAcentral.